CGCGGGGUGGAGCAGUCCGGUAGCUCAUCAGGCUCAUAACCUGAAGGUCGUAGGUUCAAAUCCUACCCCCGCAACCA
This 77-nucleotide transfer RNA is filed under the name Paracoccaceae bacterium. RNAcentral's name for it is "Rhodobacteraceae bacterium tRNA-Met". It matches the Rfam family "tRNA". Rfam says of the family: Transfer RNA (tRNA) molecules are approximately 80 nucleotides in length. Their secondary structure includes four short double-helical elements and three loops (D, anti-codon, and T loops). Lineage: Bacteria; Pseudomonadati; Pseudomonadota; Alphaproteobacteria; Rhodobacterales; Paracoccaceae. The record is from RNAcentral.